This 427-nucleotide long non-coding RNA is filed under the name Homo sapiens (human). RNAcentral's name for it is "HSALNT0003232". The record is from RNAcentral. Lineage: Eukaryota; Metazoa; Chordata; Mammalia; Primates; Hominidae.
AAAUGGCUUAGUUUUCUAUUAUCUGCCAUUUCCAGUAGAGCUCUUUCUCCUUCAGGGCAAAGAAUGAAAGAAAGUUAAUCGUUCCUACCAGAAGUGUUGAAGAAUCAGAGAGCUAAGGUAUGUAGUUUUGACGACAAAGCAUCACGAAGGCUUCACAAACUGGCCGAGUCCUGUGUCUUGGAACUGGAACUCCAAAGACGUGGGGCCUCAUCGGGAUUUGGUUGGUGAAUUGGGAACAGCUCUCCGGAAGAGGAACAUCCGCUAUGGACUAUACCACUCACUCUUAGAGUGGUUCCAUCCACUCUAUCUACUUGAUAAGAAAAAUGGCUUCAAAACACAGCAUUUUGUCAGUGCAAAAACAAUGCCAGAGCUGUACGACCUUGUUAACAGCUAUAAACCUGAUCUGAUCUGGUCUGAUGGGGAGUGG